AAGAAAAUUGCUGAAAUGCUCUUCCACACAUAAUGACGCCUACAACCACAAGUUUGUCGUUCACUUGAUUGAUAUCUCCUCUUUUCUUCAGUGUUCAGUGUUCACCGUAAGCUCAAACUGCAGUCCUCAAUCAUGACUCUAUUACCCGCCGUCGCCCUUGCCUCCGCUUCAUCGUCACCAUGGAUUCUCAGAACCUCUCCGCUCGAAAUUGCUACUUCUCCUGCAAAAGUUUCUAAACUCUAUUUUUCUCCCCUUUCUUCCUCCUCGUCUUGUCUCCGUGUAGUCUGUCGGGGAGAAUCGCAACCGGCCGACCUCAAAUUCGUGCUGCACCAUGCCUUGGAUUCCUCUGGAAUCGAUACCACUCAUGCCAGAGAAGCGAGGAAGGGAUUUUUGUCGCAGAUUGAGAAAUUAACGAUUAUAGAGAGGGAAACAAGUAUCAGCGUAAAUAGACGUGUGGAUUUGGGGAAAACGGCGCUUUACAUAGCAGCUGAGGAUGAUUCCCUAGUAUCUCACUCUUCGGUUCCGCUCCCUGUGGAUUCUUUCAUUGAUAGAUUGUAUGACCUUUCCAUGGCCUUCUGUUCUGAUUAUAGCUCGUCCCUCAGGUCUUCUCCCGAGAAAUUUCUUGAUAGUUUAGAGAAAUAUUUGUAUGUCAAGAAGGGUUUUAGAAGAAGUACUGGAGGGAAUCCAUUAGACACACGAGCUUUGUAUCUUCACUCGGUUUUGACACAUCGAUCAGGUUCAUCUGCUAUGCUUUCACUUAUAUACUCUGAAAUCCUGAAAGUGCUUCGCUUGUGGAGCCUUUUGGAUUUUGAUUGUGAGGUAUACUUCCCUCAUGAUCGUUAUGGCCUUCCCAAAGGAUAUCAUAAACAGAAAAGUGUGGAGUCUGAUCAGCCACACAUAAUGACAACACAAACUUUUUUGCAGGAGAUUUUGAGAAAUUUGAAGGAGACUUUCUGGCCAUUUCAAAAUGAUCCCACUAAGAGUUCAUUUUUGAGGGCAGCGGAUGCUGCCAACUGUAUUGAUAGAUCAAGCACUGCUGAACAAAGUGGAUUUCAGCUUGCUUCUGCAAAAGCUGCCCAACACAGGCUCGACCGUGGUGUGUGGACCAGUGUAGGCUUUGGGGAUAUGAGACGUGCUUUAUCUGCAUGUGAACGUCUAAUACUCCUAGAAUCUGAUCCAAAAGAACUAAGAGACUACAGCAUUCUUCUGUACCAUUGUGGGUUUUAUGAGCAAUCACUACAAUAUCUCAAGUUGUAUAUGGACAAAAAGAGUUCUUCAUUACAAAAGCAACCUACUGAUAAAUUUAGCAACAUGGAGGAAGAUGCUGUGGAGAAAUUGAUGACACGCCUCAACCUCAUUUCAAUGGAGGAUGGUUGGAGCAAGCCAUCACAUGUUAGAAAUUUUCUUGGCAAUAACUCUGAACCAUGGUAGAGCCUUGUGUCUCACACACAGAAAGAAAGCCUUAUGUUCUUAUCUCUCACACCACAUCUAGAUCUUGCUAGGAAAAGGUUGGCUUGUUAAACUCAAUUCUUCAUGUGUGCAAGGAAUGGAGAAUCUUAGAAAGGGUUUCAUGUCUCAUGACAUUAGCAGCAAGCAUGGAACAUCAGCCAGUAGGAGCUAGUAUCUCAAAUAAUAGCUCAAUAUCUGAAAUUUUUGGUGGGGGGAUUGGUUCGUUGGAUGGAGCUACUGUUUAUUAUUACUAUUAUUAUCCGUUUUUUCCCCUUGACUCUGACAGAAGUUAAAAAGUCGCCAUGCU
Molecule: unclassified non-coding RNA, 1756 nt
Filed under: Hevea brasiliensis (rubber tree)
Lineage: Eukaryota; Viridiplantae; Streptophyta; Magnoliopsida; Malpighiales; Euphorbiaceae
Source: RNAcentral